This 458-nucleotide unclassified non-coding RNA is filed under the name Ocimum selloi. Its description in RNAcentral is "partial contains external transcribed spacer and 18S ribosomal RNA". The stretch from base 404 to 458 matches the Rfam family "Eukaryotic small subunit ribosomal RNA", at positions 1 to 55 of the family's 1831-position model. Lineage: Eukaryota; Viridiplantae; Streptophyta; Magnoliopsida; Lamiales; Lamiaceae. The record is from RNAcentral.
GGGCAGCGACAACAUGCCUGGCUCGCCUCUUCAUUCGUCGGCACAAGCUCGGCUUGUUCGGGAUUGGUUUUCUGUGUUGCAUACCUAUCGUGAAGGCAUUCGGUCGGUUAAAAAUGUCCCAUCUCCGCCUUGUGCUGCUGCUCCGUGCGGGCGAGCAGUGCGGGGUGGAUCUCAUGGCACUCGUCGUGUUUCGAACCGCAUCACCCGUACGGGUGUUUGGGUAGCCGACCCGCGACGUGUUGCCCGUUGCCUCGGGUACGGAAUAUCGAGUGGGUACGAGGCCCUCGGCCUCCGAUCGCCACAUCAAUGCGUUCUACGCUUUUUGCGAACGACGGUCGGUUCGAUCUUUGUCCGCGCACUCUCGUGCAACGGUUCAAGUCGCGCCGACGUCGGUGAGGGAUGCUACCUGGUUGAUCCUGCCAGUAGUCAUAUGCUUGUCUCAAAGAUUAAGCCAUGCA